Molecule: ribosomal RNA, 1434 nt
Filed under: uncultured marine bacterium
Lineage: Bacteria
Description: 16S ribosomal RNA
Rfam family: Bacterial small subunit ribosomal RNA
Source: RNAcentral
GAGUUUGAUCCUGGCUCAGAACGAACGCUGGCGGCAGGCCUAAUACAUGCAAGUCGAGCGCGCCCUUCGGGGUGAGCGGCGGACGGGUGAGUAACGCGUGGGAAUAUGCCCUUCUCUAAGGAAUAGCCUCUGGAAACGGAGAGUAAUACCUUAUACGCCCUUUGGGGGAAAGAUUUAUCGGAGAAGGAUUAGCCCGCGUUAGAUUAGGUAGUUGGUGGGGUAAUGGCCUACCAAGCCUACGAUCUAUAGCUGGUUUGAGAGGAUGAUCAGCCACACUGGGACUGAGACACGGCCCAGACUCCUACGGGAGGCAGCAGUAGGGAAUCUUAGACAAUGGGGGCAACCCUGAUCUAGCCAUGCCGCGUGUGUGAUGAAGGCCCUAGGGUCGUAAAGCACUUUCGCCAGAGAUGAUAAUGACAGUAUCUGGUAAAGAAACCCCGGCUAACUCCGUGCCAGCAGCCGCGGUAAUACGGAGGGGGUUAGCGUUGUUCGGAAUUACUGGGCUUAAAGAGUUCGUAGGUGGUUGAAAAAGUUAGUGGUGAAAUCCCAGAGCUUAACUCUGGAACUGCCAUAAAAACUUUUCAGCUAGAGUAUGAUAGAGAAAAGCAGAAUUUCUAGUGUAGAGGUGAAAUUCGUAGAUAUUAGAAAGAAUACCAAUGCCAAAGGCAGCUUUCUGGAUCAUUACUGACACUGAGGAACGAAAGCAUGGGUAGCGAAGAGGAUUAGAUACCCUCGUAGUCCAUGCCGUAAACGAUGUGUGUUAGACGUUGGAAAUUUAUUUUCAGUGUCGCAGGGAAACCGAUAAACACACCGCCUGGGGAGUACGACCGCAAGGUUAAAACUCAAAUGAAUUGACGGGGACCCGCACAAGUAGUGGAGCAUGUGGUUUAAUUCGAAGAUACGCGCAGAACCUUACCAACACUUGACAUGUUCGUCGCGACUCUAAGAGAUUAGAGUUUUCGGUUCGGCCGGACGAAACACAGGUGCUGCAUGGCUGUCGUCAGCUCGUGUCGUGAGAUGUUGGGUUAAGUCCCGCAACGAGCGCAACCCUCACUUUUAGUUGCCAUCAUUAAGUUGGGCACUCUGAAAGAACUGCCAGUGAUAAGCUGGAGGAAGGUGGGGAUGACGUCAAGUCCUCAUGGCCCUUACGUGUUGGGCUACACACGUGCUACAAUGGUAUCUACAACAGGAAGCAAGACUGCGAAGUUAAGCAAAUCCCUAAAAGAUACCUCAGUUCGGAUUGCACUCUGCGACUCGAGUGCAUGAAGCUGGAAUUACUAGUAAUCGCGGAUCAGCGUGCCACGGUGAAUGCGUUCCCGGGUCUUGUACACACCGCCCGUCACACCAUGGGAGUUGGUUCUACCUUAAGGCAAGGUUUCAAACCCUUGACCACGGUAUAGUCAGCGACUGGGGUGAAGUCGUAACAAGGUAACC